Podarcis raffonei (Aeolian wall lizard) is the source of this 1200-nucleotide long non-coding RNA. RefSeq lists it as uncharacterized. The transcript has 4 exons. The record is from RefSeq and is a predicted model, not a curated record. Lineage: Eukaryota; Metazoa; Chordata; Lepidosauria; Squamata; Lacertidae.
GCUACCCCCGCCAAGUUGAGCCCAGCUUUAUGAGGAGGGGGAAAAAAAGAAAAGAGAUAGAGAGAAAAAGUGGAGGGGAGGAAAGCAAGAAGACGCCUCGGAAGAGGGAGGGCUGUUUCUGUCUUUGGUUAUCUAGCUGUAUGAGUGUUAUCAAGCCAUCAUAAAGCUAGAUAACCGAAAGUAGAAAUGACUUCCAAAGACUUCUGAGAGCUGGGAGGCGAAGAGGAGCAGCACGGAAGAAGAAGAAGAAGAAGGAGGAAAAGUCCGGAGAGCUGGAGACAAGGGGAAAGAAAACGAAGCCAAAAGAUCAAGAUUCUCAGGGAAUGAAGUUGUCUGCGACUGCUGGCGUUUGAGAAAUGCUCCCCGCGUUGUUUCAACACAGACGUGACUGAGAGUUCAUGACUUGGGAUGCGGUGACACAAAGAGACAAGACAUCUCUCUCUCUCAGCUUGGAGAGAGGCUGUGCGACAUUCUGCUGCCGAGAUAAGGAACUUCCAAUUUGGCACGAGCUGCAAACGGCGAUGAAGAUGGAGGGCCACUGCGUGCGUCUCUGGCUUUUAAUUCCCCCUGCCCUACUUCCUCCUCCUUAGUCCUGCUCUCCCCUCCCUCAAAGCCCAUCCGUGCUGUGUGCGGUGCCCUCAAAGAACAAGUAGGAGGAGGCUGUGUGUGUGUGUGUGUGUCUGUGUUUGUGUAUGAAAGAAGGGCAGCCCCUCUCCCUGAGAAGAGACCCUCUCAACAACUCCAGGCCACCCUGCUGCAGCUUAUAGGUUCUCGGUGCCAGGAAGCCAUUUUGAUGGAGUCAAAUGCCGUUUUGUAAGAUGGCCGCAUUGACGUGAGAUUAUUAAGAUGGGGAAUUUCAAGAACUUGGAAAACGCUGAUUUUUUGGUCACGUUUACUACGGAUGAAGGCAUGCCUGCUUUUCCUGUUUCACAUGGACCUGAUUUUCAAACCAUCUUUCUUCAGGAUACCCUACACAGCAAGAACUUUCUUGGGACUCUAGGCUUUGAAUUUUUGGAUUGUCUAAUGAGACAGGGGAACUGGGCCAGAAAAGCCCGUCUCUGGACAUGGAAAUGGGACUGUGUUGGGUCUCCAUCUUUCUAGGGUCUGCCAUGCUUUGCUGAUUUGGAUCACACAUGGAAACCAAGAGCAGCUCUGUACAGCUAGAUGCUGAAGGAGGAGGAGGAAAACAACCAUGGCAAA